This 468-nucleotide ribosomal RNA is filed under the name uncultured bacterium. RNAcentral describes it as "partial 16S ribosomal RNA". It matches the Rfam family "Bacterial small subunit ribosomal RNA", at positions 28 to 507 of the family's 1533-position model. The record is from RNAcentral.
GACGAACGCUGGCGGCGUGCUUAACACAUGCCAGUCGAACGGAAAGGCCCUGCUUUUGUGGGGUGCUCGAGUGGCGAACGGGUGAGUAACACGUGAGUAACCUGCCCUUGACUUUGGGAUAACUUCAGGAAACUGGGGCUAAUACCGGAUAGGAGCUCCUGCUGCAUGGUGGGGUUUGGAAAGUUUCGGCGGUUGGGGAUGGACUCGCGGCUUAUCAGCUUGUUGGUGGGGUAGUGGCUUACCAAGGCGUUGACGGGUAGCCGGCCUGAGAGGGUGACCGGCCACAUUGGGAGUGAGAUACGGCCAAGACUCCUACGGGAGGCAGCAGUGGGGAAUAUUGCAAAAUGGGCGGAAGCCUGAUGCAGCAACGCCGCGUGCGGGAUGACGGCCUUCGGGUUGUAAACCGCUUUCGCAUGUGACGAAGCGUGAGUGACGGUAAUGGGUAAAGAAGCACCGGCUAACUACGUG